RNAcentral lists this ribosomal RNA (497 nucleotides) under uncultured bacterium. RNAcentral describes it as "partial 16S ribosomal RNA". It matches the Rfam family "Bacterial small subunit ribosomal RNA", at positions 28 to 507 of the family's 1533-position model. The record is from RNAcentral.
GAUGAACGCUGGCGGCGUACCUAAUACAUGCAAGUCGAGCGAACGGACGAGAAGCUUGCUUCUCUGAUGUUAGCGGCGGACGGGUGAGUAACACGUGGAUAACCUACCUAUAAGACUGGGAUAACUUCGGGAAACCGGAGCUAAUACCGGAUGAUAUUUUGAACCGCAUGGUUCAAAAGUGAAAGACGGUCUUGCUGUCACUUAUAGAUGGAUCCGCGCUGCAUUAGCUAGUUGGUAAGGUAACGGCUUACCAAGGCAACGAUGCAUAGCCGACCUGAGAGGGUGAUCGGCCACACUGGAACUGAGACACGGUCCAGACUCCUACGGGAGGCAGCAGUAGGGAAUCUUCCGCAAUGGGCGAAAGCCUGACGGAGCAGCGCCGCGUGAGUGAUGAAGAUCUUCGGAUCGUAAAACUCUGUUAUUAGGGAAGAACAUAUGUGUAAGUAACUGUGCACAUCUUGACGGUACCUAAUCAGAAAGCCACGGCUAACUACGUG